This 1054-nucleotide ribosomal RNA is filed under the name Renibacterium salmoninarum. RNAcentral describes it as "bacterial SSU rRNA". It matches the Rfam family "Bacterial small subunit ribosomal RNA", at positions 413 to 1466 of the family's 1533-position model. The record is from RNAcentral. Lineage: Bacteria; Bacillati; Actinomycetota; Actinomycetes; Micrococcales; Micrococcaceae.
GGCCUUCGGGUUGUAAACCUCUUUCAGUAGGGAACAAGACAUCAUUUUUGUGGUGUUGAGGGUACUUGCAGAAGAAGCACCGGCUAACUACGUGCCAGCAGCCGCGGUAAUACGUAGGGUGCAAGCGUUAUCCGGAAUUAUUGGGCGUAAAGAGCUCGUAGGCGGUUUGUCGCGUCUGCCGUGAAAGUCCGGGGCUCAACUCCGGAUCUGCGGUGGGUACGGGCAGACUAGAGUGAUGUAGGGGAGACUGGAAUUCCUGGUGUAGCGGUGAAAUGCGCAGAUAUCAGGAGGAACACCGAUAGGCGAAGGCAGGUCUCUGGGCAUUAACUGACGCUGAGGAGCGAAAGCAUGGGGAGCGAACAGGAUUAGAUACCCUGGUAGUCCAUGCCGUAAACGUUGGGCACUAGGUGUGGGGGACAUUCCACGUUCUCCGCGCCGUAGCUAACGCAUUAAGUGCCCCGCCUGGGGAGUACGGCCGCAAGGCUUAAACUCAAAGNAAUUGACGGGGGCCGCACAAGCGGCGGAGCAUGCGGAUUAAUUCGAUGCAACGCGAAGAACCUUACCAAGGCUUGACAUGGAUUAGAAAACAGAAAUGUACUCCCCGUUUUGGGUUGGUUCACAGGUGGUGCAUGGUUGUCGUCAGCUCGUGUCGUGAGAUGUUGGGUUAAGUCCCGCAACGAGCGCAACCCUCGUUCUAUGUUGCCAGCCGUUAUGGUGGGGACUCAUAGGAGACUGCCGGGGUCAACUCGGAGGAAGGUGGGGAUGACGUCAAAUCAUCAUGCCCCUUAUGUCUUGGGCUUCACGCAUGCUACAAUGGCCGGUACAAAGGGUUGCGAUACUGUGAGGUGGAGCUAAUCCCAAAAAGCCGGUCUCAGUUCGGAUUGGGGUCUGCAACUCGACCCCAUGAGGUCGGAAUCGCUAGUAAUCGCAGAUCAGCAACGCUGCGGUGAAUACGUUCCCGGGCCUUGUACACACCGCCCGUCCAAGUCACGAAAGUUGGUAACACCCGAAGCCGGUGGCCUAACCCUUUUGGGAGGGAACCGUCGAAGGUGGG